ACGGAAGGCAGCAGUGGGGAAUAUUGCACAAUGGGGGAAACCCUGAUGCAGCGACGCCGCGUGAGUGAAGAAGUAUUUCGGUAUGUAAAGCUCUAUCAGCAGGAAAGAAAAUGACGGUACCUGACUAAGAAGCCCCGGCUAACUACGUGCCAGCAGCCGCGGUAAUACAUAGGGGGCAAGCGUUAUCCGGAUUUACUGGGUGUAAAGGGAGCGUAGACGGCUUUGCAAGUCUGAAGUGAAAGCCCGGGGCUCAACCCCGGAACUGCUUUGGAAACUGUAGAGCUAGAGUGCAGGAGAGGUAAGUGGAAUUCCUAGUGUAGCGGUGAAAUGCGUAGAUAUUAGGAGGAACACCAGUGGCGAAGGCGGCUUACUGGACUGUAACUGACGUUGAGGCUCGAAGGCGUGGGGAGCAAACAGGAUUAGAUACCCUGGUA
Molecule: ribosomal RNA, 434 nt
Filed under: uncultured Lachnospiraceae bacterium
Lineage: Bacteria; Bacillati; Bacillota; Clostridia; Lachnospirales; Lachnospiraceae
Also listed under: 1 other name
Description: partial 16S ribosomal RNA
Rfam family: Bacterial small subunit ribosomal RNA
Source: RNAcentral